RNAcentral lists this ribosomal RNA (365 nucleotides) under uncultured Glomeromycotina. RNAcentral describes it as "SSU rRNA". It matches the Rfam family "Eukaryotic small subunit ribosomal RNA", at positions 569 to 940 of the family's 1831-position model. Lineage: Eukaryota; Fungi; Glomeromycota. The record is from RNAcentral.
AGCAGCCGCGGUAAUUCCAGCUCCAAUAGCGUAUAUUAAAGUUGUUGCAGUUAAAAGCUCGUAGUUGAACUUCGGGAUUUGUUCAUUGGUCAGGCUUCAUUGUCUGUACUGGUGUUUCGAAUUCCUACCUUCUGAUGAAUCUUCAUGCCAUUCACUUGGUGCGUAGGGGAAUCAGGACUGUUACUUUGAAAAAUUGAGUGUUUAAAGCAGGCUAUUGCUCGAAUACAUUAGCAUGGAAUAAUAGAAUAGGACGGUUGGUUCUAUUUUGUUGGUUUCUAGGAUCACCGUAAUGAUUAAUAGGGAUAGUUGGGGGCAUUAGUAUUCAAUUGUCAGAGGUGAAAUUCUUGGAUUUAUUGAAGACUAAC